Chenopodium quinoa (quinoa) is the source of this 573-nucleotide long non-coding RNA. RefSeq lists it as uncharacterized. NCBI's taxonomy places the organism in Eukaryota, Viridiplantae, Streptophyta, Magnoliopsida, Caryophyllales, Amaranthaceae. The transcript is spliced from 2 exons. The record is from RefSeq and is a predicted model, not a curated record.
AGUCCCUUAAAAAAACUUUGGGCCUUGUGCUCUUUUACAAAUCACAACCGUUAAUCAAUAAAGCUAAUUUCUUUAUAAAUGAUACUCCUUACCAAAAUAAAUGGAACUCCUACUAAAACCUAACUCCUCCAAACGUUUGACAGUCGCCAUCAACUCCUCACCAUUAAACUAUCAACUUCCUUUCAUUUCACAAACCCACAAAAUUUAAGAGGUGUUCUAAAAUGGGUGGUCUAACAUUCGCUCUUCUAAAAUUUUACCCUUGACUUUAUAUGUUUUUGUUCAUGAUUUUCUUUGACGAAGAUUGCCAUGAUAUUUUGAAGUCUAGAGUUCAUAAGCGACAAGUAUUUGAAUUGGCCGGAAGGAGUAACGAAGAUUUAUUUUCUUGUAUCAUCUUGAAUUAUUUGUGAAAUUAUUUGUAGUAUAUGACCCCAAAAACCUUCUAGAUUCGCUCAAUCUAUCAAUCGAUUUUGUACACUAGCAAUGUAUGACAUAGGUUAAUGACGUCACAUAAGUGUAAUGGUUACUUAAAUAAACAAAUUAAUAAAAUUACCUAUUAGAAGAGCAAUUUAAAUA